Molecule: ribosomal RNA, 1026 nt
Filed under: Aliivibrio fischeri SR5
Lineage: Bacteria; Pseudomonadati; Pseudomonadota; Gammaproteobacteria; Vibrionales; Vibrionaceae
Description: bacterial LSU rRNA
Rfam family: Bacterial large subunit ribosomal RNA
Source: RNAcentral
AUGGUUAAGUGACUAAGCGUACACGGUGGAUGCCUUGGCAGUCAGAGGCGAUGAAAGACGUAUUAACUUGCGAUAAGCCCAGAUUAGGUAGUAAAAACCAUUUGAGUCUGGGAUUUCUGAAUGGGGAAACCCACGUGCAUAAGCACGUAUCGCUACGUGAAUACAUAGCGUAGCGAGGCGAACCGGGAGAACUGAAACAUCUAAGUACCCCGAGGAAGAGAAAUCAACCGAGAUCCCGAAAGUAGCGGCGAGCGAAAUUGGGUUAGCCCUUAAGCUUUUAAUGAGACAGGUGAAGGCUCUGGAAAGUGCCGCGAUACAGGGUGAUAGCCCCGUAACCGACAUCUCAUCAUCAGUGAAAACGAGUAAGGCGGGACACGUGAUAUCCUGUCUGAAUAUGGGGGGACCAUCCUCCAAGGCUAAAUACUACUGACUGACCGAUAGUGAACCAGUACCGUGAGGGAAAGGCGAAAAGAACCCCUGUGAGGGGAGUGAAAUAGAACCUGAAACCGUGUACGUACAAGCAGUAGGAGCACCUUCGUGGUGUGACUGCGUACCUUUUGUAUAAUGGGUCAGCGACUUAUAUUCAGUGGCAAGGUUAACCGUUUAGGGGAGCCGUAGGGAAACCGAGUCUUAACUGGGCGUUCAGUCUCUGGAUAUAGACCCGAAACCAGGUGAUCUAGCCAUGGGCAGGUUGAAGAUUGAGUAACAUCAAUUGGAGGACCGAACCGACUAAUGUUGAAAAAUUAGCGGAUGACUUGUGGCUAGGGGUGAAAGGCCAAUCAAACCUGGAGAUAGCUGGUUCUCCCCGAAAUCUAUUUAGGUAGAGCCUCGGACGAAUACUACUGGGGGUAGAGCACUGUUAAGGCUAGGGGGUCAUCCCGACUUACCAACCCUUUGCAAACUCCGAAUACCAGUAAGUACUAUCCGGGAGACACACGGCGGGUGCUAACGUCCGUCGUGGAGAGGGAAACAACCCAGACCGCCAGCUAAGGUCCCAAAGUUAUAGUUAAGUGGGAAACGAUGUGG